Molecule: ribosomal RNA, 446 nt
Filed under: uncultured bacterium
Lineage: Bacteria
Description: bacterial SSU rRNA
Rfam family: Bacterial small subunit ribosomal RNA
Source: RNAcentral
CUCCAGACUCCUACGGGAGGCAGCAGUGGGGAAUAUUGCACAAUGGGGGAAACCCUGAUGCAGCAACGCCGCGUGAGUGAAGAAGUAUUUCGGUAUGUAAAGCUCUAUCAGCAGGGAAGAAGAUGACGGUACCUGAGUAAGAAGCCCCGGCUAACUACGUGCCAGCAGCCGCGGUAAUACGUAGGGGGCAAGCGUUAUCCGGAUUUACUGGGUGUAAAGGGAGCGUAGACGGUGAGACAAGUCUGAAGUGAAAGCCCGGGGCUCAACCCCGGGACUGCUUUGGAAACUGCCUGACUGGAGUGCUGGAGAGGCAAGCGGAAUUCCUAGUGUAGCGGUGAAAUGCGUAGAUAUUAGGAAGAACACCAGUGGCGAAGGCGGCUCUCUGGUCUGCAACUGACGCUGAGGCUCGAAAGCAUGGGUAGCGAACAGGAUUAGAUACCCGCGUA